GAUGAACGCUGGCGGCGUGCCUAAUACAUGCAAGUCGAGCGAACAGACGAGGAGCUUGCUCCUCUGACGUUAGCGGCGGACGGGUGAGUAACACGUGGAUAACCUACCUAUAAGACUGGGAUAACUUCGGGAAACCGGAGCUAAUACCGGAUAAUAUAUUGAACCGCAUGGUUCAAUAGUGAAAGACGGUUUUGCUGUCACUUAUAGAUGGAUCCGCGCCGCAUUAGCUAGUUGGUAAGGUAACGGCUUACGAAGGCAACGAUGCGUAGCCGACCUGAGAGGGUGAUCGGCCACACUGGAACUGAGACACGGUCCAGACUCCUACGGGAGGCAGCAGUAGGGAAUCUUCCGCAAUGGGCGAAAGCCUGACGGAGCAACGCCGCGUGAGUGAUGAAGGUCUUCGGAUCGUAAAACUCUGUUAUUAGGGAAGAACAAAUGUGUAAGUAACUAUGCACGUCUUGACGGUACCUAAUCAGAAAGCCACGGCUAACUACGUG
Molecule: ribosomal RNA, 497 nt
Filed under: uncultured bacterium
Lineage: Bacteria
Description: partial 16S ribosomal RNA
Rfam family: Bacterial small subunit ribosomal RNA
Source: RNAcentral